UAGGGAAUCUUCGGCAAUGGACGAAAGUCUGACCGAGCAACGCCGCGUGAGUGAAGAAGGUUUUCGGAUCGUAAAACUCUGUUGUUAGAGAAGAACAAGGACGUUAGUAACUGAACGUCCCCUGACGGUAUCUAACCAGAAAGCCACGGCUAACUACGUGCCAGCAGCCGCGGUAAUACGUAGGUGGCAAGCGUUGUCCGGCUUUAUUGGGCGUAAAGCGAGCGCAGGCGGUUUCUUAAGUCUGAUGUGAAAGCCCCCGGCUCAACCGGGGAGGGUGAUUGUAAUCUGGGAGACUUGAGUGAAGAAGAGGAGAGUGGAAUUCCAUGUGUAGCGGUGAUAUGCGUGGAGAUAUGGAGGAACACCAGUGGCGAAGGCGGCUCUAUGGUCUGUAACUGACGCUGAGGCUCGAAAGCGUGGGGAGCAAACAGG
This 429-nucleotide ribosomal RNA is filed under the name Gemmatimonadota bacterium. RNAcentral's name for it is "Gemmatimonadetes bacterium partial 16S ribosomal RNA". It matches the Rfam family "Bacterial small subunit ribosomal RNA", at positions 355 to 776 of the family's 1533-position model. Lineage: Bacteria; Pseudomonadati; Gemmatimonadota. The record is from RNAcentral.